GGAAAGCAUUUCUUCUGGCCGACCUAGCUCUGGCAGAUGACCACAGUGUGAACAGUUCUUCUGGGACAACUGCUCUUACUGCUUUUAUAUUUGGAAGGCUAUUAAUGGUGGCCAAUGCUGGUGAUUGCCGAGCAGUUCUCUGUCGUAAAGGAGAGGCAAUAGAUAUGUCCCAAGACCAUAGGCCUGUUCAUCCAUCAGAACGAAGGCGUGUUGAAGAAUUGGGUGGGUACAUUGAUGAUGGUUAUCUCAAUGGUGUUCUAUCAGUUUCUCGAGCCCUUGGGGAUUGGGACAUGAAAAUCCCUCGAGGUGCUCCUUCACCUCUCACUGCAGAGCCAGAGUUCCAGCAGGUGGUUCUGACAGAGGAUGAUGAGUUUCUUAUAAUUGGUUGUGAUGGGAUUUGGGAUGUUAUGUCAAGUCAGCAUGCUGUCAGCCUUGUCCGUCGUGGGUUGCGGCGACACGAUGAUCCAGAACAGUGUGCUAGGGACCUUGUCAUGGAGGCCUUGCGCCGGAACACAUUUGACAAUCUGACUGUGAUUGUUGUCUGCUUCUCCACCCUUGAUAAUCGGGAGCAGGCAAAGGAGACACAAGUGUUGUAGCCUCUCUCCGGAGGCCUUUUGUAGCUUGAGGAACUUCUUGGAUAGCAGUACCAACCGUUGAAUGUAUAUAGCAUAAUUUUUAAAUAAAAUUCCCUUUUUGGAAGGGGAAUCUGUUUCUGGCUGCUUCAGUUUUACGCUAGAAAAAGCAGCUAGCAUUUUUGUAAGUGCUGAUUUUUCAAACGGCACACCGUGAGUUGGAUGAAUGUAUACAAGUGGUGUGGGUGGAUGGUGGCGUUGGUGCUGAGAUUAAAAUGUUGUACAAUAAUGUGUUCGUCGGGGAUUUGUUUAUUCUAACAAGUCCAGUAUGGUUGUCCAUUUUGACCUUAUUUAUUUUUAAUUGUACCGUUAAUGUAUAUACAGUUUGAAUAAAAAGAUCUUAAUUUUUUUUUUUUAAAAUAAAAAUUAAGAU
RNAcentral lists this unclassified non-coding RNA (1005 nucleotides) under Hevea brasiliensis (rubber tree). The record is from RNAcentral. Lineage: Eukaryota; Viridiplantae; Streptophyta; Magnoliopsida; Malpighiales; Euphorbiaceae.